This 435-nucleotide long non-coding RNA is filed under the name Equus asinus (donkey). RNAcentral describes it as "lncRNA (ENSEASG00005033839.1)". Lineage: Eukaryota; Metazoa; Chordata; Mammalia; Perissodactyla; Equidae. The record is from RNAcentral.
GGGAGGGCGCCCUCCUCCCGCCGGUUGGGAGCGUGGAGGGAAGGGAGGCGGACGGGCAAAAGCGCUUUGGAGACUCUGGAAAGUAGUGCUUUCUAACGGCAGGAUUUCAAAGUGGUAGCAGGAUUCUAGAUAGAAAAGUCAAGGAAAGCAUCUUUGAAGAGACAUCAUUUGUGAAACAUCCAAAUGAAGAGAGUGAACCUUUGAAUAUUUACGGGAAGAGUUUUCAGUCUGCAGAGUAAGGAGGUGCAAAGGCCCUGAGCACCCAGAUCAAGAAAUGGAACAUUACCAGCCUCCGGAAGCCUCCUUUGUGUCUCCAACCACGAGCCCCCACCCUCCAGGGUUACCUCUGUCUGACUUCGGAUGCUGUUGCCUGAUUUCACAUGCUUGUGAAUUGUAUAUAAAUGGAAUCUUUUGUGUCUGGCUUAUUUUGCUCAA